Molecule: long non-coding RNA, 1206 nt
Organism: Ictalurus punctatus (channel catfish)
Lineage: Eukaryota; Metazoa; Chordata; Actinopteri; Siluriformes; Ictaluridae
Exons: 2
Source: RefSeq, a predicted model, not a curated record
CUAAGCAUGGUCUCCAUGGUGCACAUAGUCUCCAGUAUAUAAAUGCACACUGAGAAAACAAAACGACUCUUAUAUGCGAAAAGUGCACGCUAUUAUUCCAUAAAGACGUAGCAUUAAUUUACUCAACCAUAUGGUUAAACAUCCUUUUAAAUGAAUCGACGUGUAUUAGGGCGUGUAACUAUAGCAGAUCAGAUAAUGACGCGGCGCGUGUUGCAUCAGCUCCUAAAAUGGUCACCGACUAUGCGCGAGAGCUACAUGAACAGAUGAAUAAAGGCAGCGCGCGAGCUACGUGAACAGAUGGAUAAAGGCAGCGCGCGACUUCCGUCCAGCAAAAAAAAAAAAAAAAACCUUUUAAGAACACAAAGACUACAACGACUGACUACUCGGAAGAAGAAUAAGAAAUAGAUGCUGAAAGCCGCGUGUACUCAGUGGGAGGUCAGUACACGGACCUCAAAGGAAACCACUUUCUGCGAAGUCUACAACUCCUUACCAACUGAAGAAGCGUCACCGGGAAGGUCCUAAAGCACGCCCAGAAUUCAUGUAUUCUUUGGUGGGGCGAGGCUCGUGCUAUGUUCGACUGAGGCCGGAAAUGGGAAGUGAAAACUCAAAUGUCCCAUUCAAUGGGUGCUUCUCAUUAGUUAUUUAUGAAUCCUCGUUUUCUUUCCUCACUUCCUUUUCUUGCGUCUUAGCGCCCCCUACUUGGGAUGUGAGAGAAGGAUGCAAGGAUGAGAUGUGAGGAGAGAGAAGUCGAAUGAAAUCAUAAACUUUCUAGAUAGCAAAAAGUUCUGUGCAGCGUUAUUUGUUGACCUUUCAAAGAUUUUGAUUCUGCCGAUCAUAAUCUACUGUUAUAGAAACUUAGGUCUAUAGGUUUUAGUGAAGCUCCUCUAAAAUGGUUUGAAAACUGUUUUUUUUAAGCACACUCAACGUAUGUGUUUAGAAAAUUAUACUUCACCUUUCCAUCAAGUAAAAAAAAAGGAGUUCCUCAAGGAUCUGUUUUAGCUCCCCCUUUGUUUUCUAUUUUCAUCAGUGAUUCAGGCUUCGGAGUGGAUUGCUCUAAUAUACAUCUGUAUGCCGAAGACACAACCAUUUAUACUUCAACGCCAUCUUUAAAUCAUGUUCUACUGAACUUACAGAAUGCAUUCAAUGUAAUACAAUAUUCUUCGUCACAGCUGAAAUUGAUUUUAAAUAAAAAAAAGACAAACUAUA